Molecule: transfer RNA, 72 nt
Filed under: Bos taurus (domestic cattle)
Lineage: Eukaryota; Metazoa; Chordata; Mammalia; Artiodactyla; Bovidae
Also listed under: 1 other name
Rfam family: tRNA
About the family: Transfer RNA (tRNA) molecules are approximately 80 nucleotides in length. Their secondary structure includes four short double-helical elements and three loops (D, anti-codon, and T loops).
Source: Rfam by way of RNAcentral
GCCCUGGUGGUCCUGUGGUUAGGACUCUGCACUUUCACUGCCAGGGUGCAGGUUCAAUCCCUGGUCAGGGAA